AUGGAGCAGCCUCCUGCAUCCGAACAUCAGGAGCUUCCCCGGGACCCGAACCUGGGCGACUCGGGAAGCCAGCGCGGGCUCCUCCUGGCUGCACCCCCAGCUCCCCUUACGAGUCCAUACGUGUCCGGGCCCCUGGGAGCGUCAGUCCCCCUGAAACGCCUGCAGGGGUCAUGCUCCUACAUCCACCUGGAUGCGCACAGCAAAGUGCUCCCGCAAGCAGACCUCCCAGGUGGAGCUGGUGUGGCUGAGCUGGCCUGGUGCCCAUGGAAGCAGCAGAGAGGGGCCACGGCGGGAAUGAGAGCUGGUGGGCCGAGGCUCACGGCGGCCGUCAGCUCUGAGGUGGCCUCUGCAGUGGCCUGGAGUGAGGGGCGGAAUGGAGGCAAGGCUGGGGGUGGGGCAGAAGCUGUCCAGACAGCCUCCACCACCGCCCCGAAGGUCUUCCAGCUGACCCCCAGCUGUGGGAUCACGUCUGACGCCACGGUUGCCCUGGGCUGCCUGGUCUCUGAUUACUACCCAGAGCCGGUGACUUUGUCCUGGAACUCGGGCGCCCUGACCAGCGGGGUGCACACCUUCCCAUCCGUCCUGCAGUCUUCGGGGCUCUACGCCCUCAGCAGCAUGGUGACCGUGCCUGCCAGCACCUGGACCAGCGAGACCUACAUCUGCAACGUAGCCCACCCGGCCAGCAGCACCAAGGUGGACAAGAGAAUAUCCCCAUGUGUUCUCUCUGCAGAGGGCGUUAUCCCCAUCCCAUCGGUCCCCACCCCCCAGUGUCCCCCGUACACACAUUCUAAAUUCCUAGGAGGGCCUUCCGUCUUCAUCUUCCCCCCGAAUCCCAAGGACGCACUCAUGAUCUCCCGAACGCCCGUGGUCACUUGCGUGGUGGUAAACUUGAGCGAUCAAUACCCCGAUGUCCAGUUCUCCUGGUAUGUGGACAACACGGAGGUACACUCGGCCAUCACGAAGCAGAGGGAGCUGCAGUCCAACAGCACCUACCGCGUGGUCAGCGUCCUCCCCAUCCAGCACCAGGACUGGCUGAGUGGAAAAGAGUUCAAGUGUAGCGUCACCAACAUAGGAGUCCCACAACCCAUCUCGAGGGCCAUCUCGAGAGGCAAAGGACCGUCCCGGGUUCCGCAGGUAUAUGUGCUGCCCCCACACCCAGACGAGCUGGCCAAGAGCAAGGUCAGCGUGACCUGCCUGGUCAAAGACUUCUACCCACCUGACAUCAGUGUCGAGUGGCAGAGCAACAGGUGGCCGGAGCUAGAGGGCAAGUACAGCACCACCCCGGCCCAACUGGACGGCGACGGGUCCUACUUUCUGUACAGCAAGCUCUCCUUGGAGACAAGCAGGUGGCAGCAGGGAGAGUCACUCACGUGUGCGGUGAUGCAUGAGGCUCUCCACAAUCACUUCACGAAGACAGACAUCUCCGAGUCUCUGGGUAAAUGAGCCACACGCCGGCACCCAGCGAGUGGUCCCUCCUUCACCGCAAGCUCUCUGGGUCCCGCGAGGACA
Equus quagga is the source of this 1509-nucleotide non-coding RNA. Lineage: Eukaryota; Metazoa; Chordata; Mammalia; Perissodactyla; Equidae. The record is from the annotation of a RefSeq genome assembly.